CAUGGGUCCUUGCUGCCCUGGGCGGGACUGGUUCUGUGGUUGGCCUUCUUGGCUGUGGAGUGUGCUGCCAGUCCAUCCGUGGGUCAUGUUUGUCUUCCACAGCCUCAUCUACAUUAGGUGAAUGACCUAAUUCUUCUGCCCACGUGAUGGUGCCAUGUCAUAGUCUGGCACUGACGUUUCUCAGUGCUGGUUGUUGCAUAAGAUAUCUGCCAUGCUCUGAGGGGGGCACAGGUUAAAGGCUGAGUGCAGCCAGGAGCCAGCCUGAGGCCUGUCAGGACACCGGACAUGCAGCUCCAGGUAAGUUGGCAGGUGAGGCAGCCAGGGAAAAGGUGUUAGGAGCAGUAGCCUGGGGAGCCGAAGGCCUGGGACCUCAUGAGAGAGGUUAGUCUGCAGGGAAUGUGCAGGGAAGCCUGAGGGGCAGGGACUAGGCUGUAAGGAAGUGACCUGGACUAGGUGGGCCUCCUUAGUUGCUCUUUUUCUUUGGCUGCUAGAAAACCCUUGAUUCAGCAUCUUUCACAAAAGACCAGGGUUCUGUGGAGCCUGGUGGUGCAAGCCUGUAAUCCCAGGGACUCGGAUGGCUGAGGCUGGAAGAUUGCAAGUUCAAAGUCAGCCUUAGCAAGUUGGUGAGACCCUGCUAAAAACAUAAAAAUGUCUGGGGAUGUGACUCCGUGGUUCAGCACAUCUGGGUUCAAUCCCUGGUGCAAAAAAAAAAAAAAAAAAAAAAUCACAGUUUAUCUUCAUUGGGGUCCUAGUAUGCUGCUGGCUGCCCUUGAGGCUGAGCUGCCAGGUGUCUGCCCUGCUGCUGGCCCUGAGCACCCACCCUGCACUGGGGAGACCACGCCCUUUGUGGAAUGUGGCAGGUUUCAGGCUCUAAUCAUGUGAUCUGCAUUUAACAGGAAAUUCUUGCCAGGCUUUCCUCUCAACCCUGAGGUGUGAUGGAGACAGUCAAAUUCCUUUCCUGCCAGAGAGGAGGGCCACCACUUCUCCAAUAGUGGCCCCCAAUCUACACUUAGCUCUCCUGGUCCUAGAGGGUGAGGUACAUGAAGCCCCGAAGAGUACCUCCUUGUCCUUGGGCAUCACUGCUGCCACUCCCACAAGAUGUCAGGGGACUCCUGUGUGGCGGCUGGGAGGCCAAAACUGUAUUGAUAUUGAGUGAAUUAAACUGAUGUCUCUGUGAUGGGGGUCU
RNAcentral lists this long non-coding RNA (1186 nucleotides) under Marmota monax (woodchuck). The record is from RNAcentral. Lineage: Eukaryota; Metazoa; Chordata; Mammalia; Rodentia; Sciuridae.